GGCCCGUUAUCUCAGCUGGUCAGACCGUGGUGCUCAUAACACCAAGGUCAUGGGUUCCAUCCCCAUGCAGGCCA
RNAcentral lists this transfer RNA (74 nucleotides) under Poecilia formosa (Amazon molly). It matches the Rfam family "tRNA". Rfam says of the family: Transfer RNA (tRNA) molecules are approximately 80 nucleotides in length. Their secondary structure includes four short double-helical elements and three loops (D, anti-codon, and T loops). Further hydrogen bonds mediate the characteristic L-shaped molecular structure. tRNAs have two regions of fundamental functional importance: the anti-codon, which is responsible for specific mRNA codon recognition, and the 3' end, to which the tRNAs corresponding amino acid is attached (by aminoacyl-tRNA synthetases). tRNAs cope with the degeneracy of the genetic code in two manners: having more than one tRNA (with a specific anti-codon) for a particular amino acid; and 'wobble' base-pairing, i.e. permitting non-standard base-pairing at the 3rd anti-codon position. The record is from Rfam by way of RNAcentral. Lineage: Eukaryota; Metazoa; Chordata; Actinopteri; Cyprinodontiformes; Poeciliidae.